RNAcentral lists this ribosomal RNA (470 nucleotides) under uncultured bacterium. RNAcentral describes it as "bacterial SSU rRNA". It matches the Rfam family "Bacterial small subunit ribosomal RNA", at positions 329 to 793 of the family's 1533-position model. The record is from RNAcentral.
CUACGCACUCCUACGGGAGGCAGCAGUGGGGAAUAUUGCACAAUGGGCGCAAGCCUGAUGCAGCCAUGCCGCGUGUAUGAAGAAGGCCUUCGGGUGUAAAGUACUUUCAGCAGUGAGGAAGGUGGGUAUGUUAAUAGCAUAUUCAUUUGACGUUAGCUGCAGAAGAAGCACCGGCUAACUCCGUGCCAGCAGCCGCGGUAAUACGGAGGGUGCGAGCGUUAAUCGGAAUUACUGGGCGUAAAGCGCAUGCAGGUGGUUUGUUAAGUCAGAUGUGAAAGCCCGGGGCUCAACCUCGGAAUUGCAUUUGAAACUGGCAAACUAGAGUACUGUAGAGGGGGUAGAAUUUCAGGUGUAGCGGUGAAAUGCGUAGAGAUCUGAAGGAAUACCGGUGGCGAAGGCGGCCCCCUGGACAGAUACUGACACUCAGAUGCGAAAGCGUGGGGAGCAAACAGGAUUAGAUACCCUGGUAG